UGAAGACGAAACGAACCGAAAGUUCGAGAAAACACACAAACUAUCGCAUACCCAAUUUGCUGAAGCGUUGAAAGACGACUCGGCACACCGAAUUUCUUGACGACCAUAGAGCAUUGGAACCACCUGAUCCCAUCCCGAACUCAGAAGUGAAACGAUGCAUCGCCGAUGGUAGUGUGGGGUUUCCCCAUGUGAGAGUAGGUCAUCGUCAAGA
Molecule: ribosomal RNA, 211 nt
Filed under: Pseudomonas sp. LAMO17WK12:I9
Lineage: Bacteria; Pseudomonadati; Pseudomonadota; Gammaproteobacteria; Pseudomonadales; Pseudomonadaceae
Source: RNAcentral